AUUGAACGCUGGCGGCAGGCCUAACACAUGCAAGUCGAGCGGAUGAAGGGAGCUUGCUCCUGGAUUCAGCGGCGGACGGGUGAGUAAUGCCUAGGAAUCUGCCUGGUAGUGGGGGAUAACGUCCGGAAACGGGCGCUAAUACCGCAUACGUCCUGAGGGAGAAAGUGGGGGAUCUUCGGACCUCACGCUAUCAGAUGAGCCUAGGUCGGAUUAGCUAGUUGGUGGGGUAAAGGCCUACCAAGGCGACGAUCCGUAACUGGUCUGAGAGGAUGAUCAGUCACACUGGAACUGAGACACGGUCCAGACUCCUACGGGAGGCAGCAGUGGGGAAUAUUGGACAAUGGGCGAAAGCCUGAUCCAGCCAUGCCGCGUGUGUGAAGAAGGUCUUCGGAUUGUAAAGCACGUUAAGUUGGGAGGAAGGGCAGUAAGUUAAUACCUUGCUGCUUUGACGUUACCAACAGAAUAAGCACCGGCUAACUUCGUG
Molecule: ribosomal RNA, 484 nt
Filed under: uncultured bacterium
Lineage: Bacteria
Description: partial 16S ribosomal RNA
Rfam family: Bacterial small subunit ribosomal RNA
Source: RNAcentral